GUUUUGUUUUAGGAGUUUUUAAAAAACACUCAUCCUCAUCGAGACAGAUGCGAAACACAAAAUACCUCAAAAACACACUCAAUCUAUUCCUCUGACAGCGGGUUUGAGGAUGACAGCACCCCCAAACUAUCUUCAAGCAGAUACUCCCUGGCUUCUUUUCAGAGUUGUCUCCAGAGCUCCAGAAUGCAGUGCUCGGCUGAAAAUUUAGCCCACCAUUUGGUGUCAGAGUUCAGGAAGCAGUGGUUCUCCUCUAAGCUACUGCAAAACCCCGACGACCUCAACUCUGCUCUUGCAGGAAGUCUCUGUCCCUGUUAUGGGAGAGAACAGGAUCAGUCUAACUGAAGAGAUUGUGCAGAAGACCAGAAUGAUGUUUUUAAAUUUAUUGUGUGUAAUCAUUUGCUUUAGGAUCUACAGGAGCAACUAAUAUCCAUCAAAAAGCUUCUGAGCACAUGCAGACUAUCAACUGGAGUACUCGGUGAGUCUGACCAGCUUCCUGCUCAUCUGAUGCCAGAACUACACCUCUUCUCAAUGGAUGACCUCAUCAGGGUAAAAAAGGCUGUGUCAGGCCAAAGGCUUUAUCUGUGAGUUCUGUCACAGGGAGGAAGUGCUUUUCCCUUUUCAGAGAGACAUCUGCACCUGCUGCCAAGAUUUUUUUAGACUGCAGAGCCUGUUUCCACAUCUACUUCUGUGAUGAAUCAUGUCCCAAAUGUGCCAGACUGGAGAAACGAAAGAAACUCCAGCAAGACAUCAAUUUAUGAAAUCUCCUACAUGUCCUUCACUGCAUUUUAAAGUGGCGUAAAGAGGUCUUGAACUGUUCUUAGUUUACUGACAUGCUUUAUGUGCUGUAAUUUUGUAAAGCAUAGAUGAAUGUAGUUUUGAUAUUGUUCGAUGUUGUACAUUGUAUUUCCAUUAAGUAACAAGCAUUACAAUGUGUGAACACAGAGACCUGCCAAACUCUAUUAUGUUCGUAUUUUGAACACAUGAUUAAUUCAUGAUAGUUUAGUCACAUUUCAUUCUGCAGUUGGUUGCAAAAUAUGGGGAUUGUUCUUGUGGACGUUUAGAAAAUAGUCUUUCCCUUAUUGAUUGAAAGUCAUGAACAUUCUCCACCACAGGAUCUUUUUAAUAGCAUUCUCUGGUCGAACUGACGUUUUAUAUUAUUUAAUAUUAAAUAAAUGAAUUUGUUUUAUUUAAUAUUGUAUUUAUUGUUAUUUAAUAAUUAUAUUUGUUUUAGGAUUCAAAACUUGUUUAAGAUUUAAAGUUUGAGUCAAGGGUAAAACAAUAAAAUACGGGCAUUUAAAUAAUAAUAAUAAAAAAAGUUAUUUUUUUAUAUAAUUUAAAUUUGUUGAAAUAGAACCUCUUGAACAUAGGAAUGCUCAAAAAGAAUGAAAAAUCUUAAUGUUUAAAGGAUUAUUGGAUCGACAUAAAAGAGCUGUCAGAAGUGGGAUUCGAACCCACGCCUCCAUUCGGAGACCAGAAAGCCCGCUUCACAGGAAGGUUUGAACCUUGAGUCUGGCGCCUUAGACCGCUCGGCCAUCCUGACAUACGUAACCCGCUGAACUGAAGCCUUUCUGUCCAUUUCCCCUUAAUCUGUCAUGACGGUUUCUCAAAUUAAGACUGCUGCUUCGUUAAAAUAUGCAUGUAUAAACC
Cyprinus carpio (common carp) is the source of this 1647-nucleotide long non-coding RNA. RefSeq lists it as uncharacterized. Lineage: Eukaryota; Metazoa; Chordata; Actinopteri; Cypriniformes; Cyprinidae. The record is from RefSeq and is a predicted model, not a curated record.